AGAACUUUCCAGAGAUGGAUUGGUGCCUUCGGGAACUCUGACACAGGUGCUGCAUGGCUGUCGUCAGCUCGUGUCGUGAGAUGGUUGGGUUAAGUCCCGUAACGAGCGCAACCCUUGUCCUUAGUUACCAGCACGUCAUGGUGGGCACUCUAAGGAGACUGCCGGUGACAAACCGGAGGAAGGUGGGGAUGACGUCAAGUCAUCAUGGCCCUUACGGCCUGGGCUACACACGUGCUACAAUGGUCGGUACAGAGGGGUUGCCAAGCCGCGAGGUGGAGCUAAUCUCACAAAACCGAUCGUAGUCCGGAUCGCAGUCUGCAACUCGACUGCGUGAAGUCGGAAUCGCUAGUAAUCGCGAAUCAGAAUGUCGCGGUGAAUACGUUCCCGGGCCUUGUACACACCGCCCGUCACACCAUGGGAGUGGGUUGCUCCAGAAGUAGCUAGUCUAACCUUCGGGGGGACGGUUACCACGGAGUGAUUCAUGACUGGGGUGAAGUCGUAACAAGGUAGGCGUAGUGCU
RNAcentral lists this ribosomal RNA (520 nucleotides) under uncultured bacterium. RNAcentral's name for it is "bacterial SSU rRNA". It matches the Rfam family "Bacterial small subunit ribosomal RNA", at positions 992 to 1509 of the family's 1533-position model. The record is from RNAcentral.